RNAcentral lists this ribosomal RNA (253 nucleotides) under uncultured bacterium. RNAcentral describes it as "partial 16S ribosomal RNA". It matches the Rfam family "Bacterial small subunit ribosomal RNA", at positions 524 to 776 of the family's 1533-position model. The record is from RNAcentral.
UACGGAGGAUUCGAGCGUUAUCCGAAUUUAUUGGGUUUAAAGGGUGCGUAGGCGGGCGUGCAAGUUAGAGGUGAAAUCCUACAGCUUAACUGUAGAACUGCCUUUAAAACUGCAUGUCUUGAAUUUGGCGGCGGAAGGCGGAAUGAAUAGUGUAGCGGUGAAAUGCAUAGAUAUUAUUCAGAACACCAAUUGCGAAGGCAGCUUUCCAUACCAACAUUGACGCUGAGGCACGAAAGCGUGGGUAGCGAACAGG